Long non-coding RNA from Ictalurus punctatus (channel catfish), 4078 nucleotides. Lineage: Eukaryota; Metazoa; Chordata; Actinopteri; Siluriformes; Ictaluridae. The record is from Ensembl.
UCACAUGCCUAACUAUACUAUCACCUGUUUCAUCCUGAUGAGCACCUCUAUAUAAGCUCUAGUUUGUCAGCGUCCCACCAUCAAGCUUUUGUUGUUGCAUUUGUGUGUACUAUAGUUUUGUUCAUAAUCUGCAUGCUUUUGUCCUGUCUUGUCCUGUCUGUUUAGGUUUAUGGUUCUUGUUUUCACACUUUAAGUUGUUUUUGCACUUUAUACAUCUGCUGCCUCUACAAAUCCCUGACACAUUACUUUUUACACUAAAGGAGCCAUGUUUUAGCAAGUGUUUACUCAAUGUUUCAGGAUCAGUAUUGGAAAAGAAAAUGUAAUAUUGUAGUAUCUGUAGUAAACAUGCUCACACUUGCCUUGACAAAACACAGAGCAGCUAGGGCUAUCGGAAAAUUCAGUUUCAAACACGUGACGGGCGUUGCCUAAUGAGAGCUUAAAUUUAAAAAAAAAAAAAAAAAAAAAAAAAACUCCAUUGUUUUGCAGUUAUUUGCAGCCGACAACCAUGCAGGAUAUUCAACACAGCAUAAAUGUGUCUGUCAUACCUUUAAAUAUUAACCUCUCAAGAGGUUCUCCGUGCUCAUCUAAAUAUUAACCACUCAAAUUUGCUUUGCUGUUGACUCCCACUCAUUUCCAGCAUGUUUUGUGACUAGUGUGUUCAUGCUUGCAGGUCAGAAUGAUGCCCACCGUUCAACAUCCAAAGGUACAGUAAUACUUGACAUUGACCUGCCGUUACAGUUCAGAGCACACCUGAGUGUACUGAAAGCCAAGCUCAACUGAUUAAACAGGUGGAAUCGGUUGUGGCUCCUGCUUGCUUGGAAUGAAAACCUGCACCCACACCAGCCCUUUCCUGAUAAGAUGGGACACCCCUGGUUUAUACAGUAGUAACCUGUUUUGUUUUUAAGCCCUUCCAGCCCUGCAGAUCCCUUGCUCUGCAAAAUGUAAUAACCUGCUGAUCAGCAUCAGGGGAAGUGAAAUAUUCUAACACAGCAAACAAAUUUCCUGUUUUACUGGAUUAGAUGCAAAGCAAGGUUAUUAUUGUUAACGAAAACAACAAAAACUAUCAGUGUAAAAAAAAAAAGGCAUUCUUGUGAACUGAAAUAAAAAUACAAAUGUGAGUUUACAAAUAAACAAAAACUAAACCACAACUAUAAUGUCCACCUGCAAUAAGAAUGAUAACUAAAUCGAAUUUCCGAUAAUAGAACUUACGAUUUCGUAUUUUAAAUGUUGGGUAGUCUGACUUAAGAACAGAGGUUGAACAGAGUGGAUCCAUCAUUCAGUACGUUUACAUGGACAACAAUAAUCCGAUCUCAACCCGAUUAAGAUGAUACUCUGAUUAAGAAACUACUUGGUAAAAAGUGAUUAUUGAUUACGUUAAUCCGGCUAAAGUCAUACUCUAAGUAAACACAAAUCAAAUUAAUCAAGUGGUUUGGGACGCAGCCGUGCUCUCGUUUGCCGGAAAACGGUUGAGCGCUGCCGUGUGUGAUCGUGUCCUGUCGCAAAAUGCGGUGAAAACUCCCACACAACGUUAAUAGUGUGAUUAAUGUGUUACACAUGUUAUACGUCGAUAAUGCGACUAAAACAGGAGUACUCCACACGUCUUAAAUUCCAUUUGUGUUUACUUCGAGUAUGACUUUAGUCGGAUUAAGGUCAUCAAUAAUCGCUGUUUACAUGCUAGUUUAUUAAUCAGAGCAUUGGUUAAUAUUUUGAUUAUUGUUGUCCAUGUAAACGUACUAACUGUUACAUAAAGCUAUUACAAAAACACCACCCACGAAGUUAUAGCAAAAACGAAGAAAACGUGCACUUUCCCCACGGUGCCUUACUUACAGUUCCGCCCAGAGUGAGCAUUCUCGGCAUAACGUACAUUGCGAACGGCUUUAGCGGACCAGUGCUCAUUAUAUCGAGCGAAAAUAAUGAAAACGAAGCUUGUGAAACAAUAUUAGCUUUGUCCUUUUAGCGGUAAUACUGUUUAGUAUCACCGAAAACAAAAUGAACUUGACUCCUCUUAUAAGAACUCCUUGGUACAGCAGUGGUUUAGUAGCAGUGGAGCACUAACGCCGGAAUAUGCAGCCUCUGGCAAGUAAACAUGAUUUGAUAUUUGUAAAUACAUUUACAAAAAUCAAGGCUUUUACCAUGAUGUUAAAUAAUGUAAAUAAUGUAACCAAAACUGUUUCUUCACCGUUAAAUCUAGCCUAAGUGAAGUACAAACUAUAACCCUGCUGCAAAGUAUUAGUGUAGACCUUCUGUAAGCAUCCACAACCUUACCAACCCUGGUCCCUGCACACUUAGUUUGUGUUGGAGCAGUGAAGUGUGCAGGAGAGGAGAUACUCCAGGACCAGCUGGGGUAAUAGACUGCUCAGACAGUGUUAUAUAGAAAGAAAUACUUGUUGAUGCAUCAAAAAUAAAAAAUAAAAAAAAGAUCAAAUGCACGUUCAAAAAAGUUGAUUCCUACCUUGGCAUUUGCAGGGGUCGUGUCCACUGUCAACAAACAACUAAUACAGGAAACCUACACCCCUACAGACACAUAUCAGUUGCAUGCAACUGUGCAUAACAGCUCUGCAGAAGGCGGGGUUGUGCUGAAAGCUUGCACGAGUUUUUAAACAAUAACAAAACAAGCGUAUGUGGCUUUUAUGCAUCUCUACAGGAAUUGAUUGAUCCUCCGGUGCUUCCAUAUAUACACCCCUCUACAAUAAGUAUACAAUGUUGCUGAUUACUGGGAUCACUAACAUCAUCCUUCUCACUGUUUAAGGUAUGCAUGUCGUCAGGGCCAGAGUUGGACCUAUUUUGAGCCCAAGUCCAGACCUUUUUUUCUUUUUUCAUGGUGGAAGAACUUGGAUAAAUUAAGUGAUAGUUCAGUUCUUACUAUCCCGCUUCAUAGCUUCCUUUAUGAAAGGAUUAUCACUCGCAGUAAGAGUAAAUGGCAAACACACUAUACAGUAGACUUACAGAGAAUGAGUUUUUUCAUUGUAUGUCAGUCACUUGUGGUUGGUUCCAUCCUUGCUGUGAUGAACCUAUGCUAUGGGACGUUUUGGAGGGUGCUGAGGAUGAUGAUACGUUUUCAAUUAUAUUUCUGUUUGUACUAUGUGCUAAUGAUGUCAGAUUCCACUACAAAUCGUUCUUUUGAGUCGAUUCUUAGGAAGUAACCGGUUGAGCGGAUACACAAACUCGAACUGAAUCGAACUUUAGUUCUGGGUUGAUGACGCAAGACGCACAGCCGAAGUAGCACGCUCCGAGGCAUGUCCGACUCCAAAAGAACCGAAUGAGCAGAUUCAACUAACUGUCGAAGUUUGAAUUAUUUAAAACUAUUUGCAAACUAAGGUCUCGAGAAUUUGAAGUAGGCGUUUUACUCGAUGAUGUUACAAUUUCUACAAUUUAAUAUAUUUGUUUUCCAGUUGUGAACAUGGGAUUUUUAUGUUUCAUUAGGCUUAAUGGAUGCCGUUGUUGUGAUGGACAUUUGAAGAAAUCUGAUUUUCUUCCAUUUAUGUAUCAACAACAACGUAGUAGCCUUUGUAACGACAAGCCAGUGUGUAUGCCAUGAGCCUGAGACACAGUUUGAGAUUAAUGAGUUAUUCUUUCUAUAUAAUUUAGACAUGUAGAACAUAUCUGCAUUUGUGCAUCAGUGUCUGUAAUGUGUGCUGCAGGUGCAAAACUUCAAUGUAGGAAACUUGUAAAAGAUGUAGGCUACUCGAUAUUGGUCAGUCGUAUCCAGCAUGAAGGAUCAGCGCAUGAAACUCAUUAACAAACACCAUUAACUUAAGUGAAUGAAAGGCAAUAAUCAGCCAUACGCCUUCACACAAAUGGCUUUAUUGACUGGACAAACUUCUUUAACUCAAACUAGAGCACUGUGAAAAUGCUGAAUUGUAUUCUCAUGUACACAUAUAAUUUUACACAUAUAGCUACACAUCCUGACAUAUUUGCGCGCACUGUAUGAGUUGUAUUGAGUUGCAUAUGCUCAUCUUUUUUCAUCUUCACUUGUCUAUCGUUUUGCCUAUAAGCAUAUAUUCUAUUCUGUUUAGAUAUUUUCAUUUAUUUGUACAUUACAUUCUAUUCUAUAUAUAUAUAUUUAUGAUAACGGAGC